This 846-nucleotide ribosomal RNA is filed under the name uncultured bacterium. Its description in RNAcentral is "bacterial SSU rRNA". It matches the Rfam family "Bacterial small subunit ribosomal RNA", at positions 60 to 919 of the family's 1533-position model. The record is from RNAcentral.
AGUCGAACGAGAGAUGAGGAGCUUGCUCUUCAAAUCGAGUGGCGAACGGGUGAGUAACGCGUGAGGAACCUGCCUCAAAGAGGGGGACAACAGUUGGAAACGACUGCUAAUACCGCAUAAGCCCACGGCUCGGCAUCGAGCAGAGGGAAAAGGAGCAAUCCGCUUUGAGAUGGCCUCGCGUCCGAUUAGCUAGUUGGUGAGGUAAUGGCCCACCAAGGCGACGAUCGGUAGCCGGACUGAGAGGUUGAACGGCCACAUUGGGACUGAGACACGGCCCAGACUCCUACGGGAGGCAGCAGUGGGGAAUAUUGCACAAUGGGGGAAACCCUGAUGCAGCGACGCCGCGUGGAGGAAGAAGGUCUUCGGAUUGUAAACUCCUGUUGUUGAGGAAGAUAAUGACGGUACUCAACAAGGAAGUGACGGCUAACUACGUGCCAGCAGCCGCGGUAAAACGUAGGUCACAAGCGUUGUCCGGAAUUACUGGGUGUAAAGGGAGCGCAGGCGGGAGAACAAGUUGGAAGUGAAAUCCAUGGGCUCAACCCAUGAACUGCUUUCAAAACUGUUUUUCUUGAGUAGUGCAGAGGUAGGCGGAAUUCCCGGUGUAGCGGUGGAAUGCGUAGAUAUCGGGAGGAACACCAGUGGCGAAGGCGGCCUACUGGGCACCAACUGACGCUGAGGCUCGAAAGUGUGGGUAGCAAACAGGAUUAGAUACCCUGGUAGUCCACACCGUAAACGAUGAUUACUAGGUGUUGGAGGAUUGACCCCUUCAGUGCCGCAGUUAACACAAUAAGUAAUCCACCUGGGGAGUACGACCGCAAGGUUGAAACUCAAAGGAAUUGACGGGGG